UAGGGAAUCUUCCACAAUGGACGCAAGUCUGAUGGAGCAACGCCGCGUGAGUGAAGAAGGUUUUCGGAUCGUAAAGCUCUGUUGUUGGUGAAGAAGGAUAGAGGCAGUAACUGGUCUUUAUUUGACGGUAAUCAACCAGAAAGUCACGGCUAACUACGUGCCAGCAGCCGCGGUAAUACGUAGGUGGCAAGCGUUGUCCGGAUUUAUUGGGCGUAAAGCGAGCGCAGGCGGAAUGAUAAGUCUGAUGUGAAAGCCCACGGCUCAACCGUGGAACUGCAUCGGAAACUGUCAUUCUUGAGUGCAGAAGAGGAAAGUGGAAUUCCAUGUGUAGUGGUGGAAUGCGUAGAUAUAUGGAAGAACACCAGUGGCGAAGGCGGCUCUCUGGUCUGCAACUGACGCUGAGGCUCGAAAGCAUGGGUAGCGAACAGG
Molecule: ribosomal RNA, 429 nt
Filed under: bacterium
Lineage: Bacteria
Description: partial 16S ribosomal RNA
Rfam family: Bacterial small subunit ribosomal RNA
Source: RNAcentral